AUGAGUGCUAAGUGUUAGGGGGUUUCCGCCCCUUAGUGCUGCAGCUAACGCAUUAAGCACUCCGCCUGGGGAGUACGGUCGCAAGACUGAAACUCAAAGGAAUUGACGGGGGCCCGCACAAGCGGUGGAGCAUGUGGUUUAAUUCGAAGCAACGCGAAGAACCUUACCAGGUCUUGACAUCCUCUGACAAUCCUAGAGAUAGGACGUCCCCUUCGGGGGCAGAGUGACAGGUGGUGCAUGGUUGUCGUCAGCUCGUGCCGA
RNAcentral lists this ribosomal RNA (261 nucleotides) under Bacillus sp. (in: firmicutes). RNAcentral's name for it is "Bacillus sp. (in: Bacteria) partial 16S ribosomal RNA". It matches the Rfam family "Bacterial small subunit ribosomal RNA", at positions 809 to 1068 of the family's 1533-position model. The record is from RNAcentral. Lineage: Bacteria; Bacillati; Bacillota; Bacilli; Caryophanales; Bacillaceae.